This 227-nucleotide long non-coding RNA is filed under the name Panax ginseng (ginseng). Its description in RNAcentral is "long non-coding RNA (PGIN_LNC014478)". The record is from RNAcentral. Lineage: Eukaryota; Viridiplantae; Streptophyta; Magnoliopsida; Apiales; Araliaceae.
UUCGAUGUGAUCAAACUCUGUAUAAGUUAUGAAUAUUGUGUUGUAAAUGGAUUAAGCUCUAAAGACUAAAACAAAAUUGAUAACCAAUCUGCCAAGAAAGAGCAAUCACGUAAGAUGCUUAAAAGUGUUGUUUGUGCUCUCAAGAUUUAAAUAAGUCACUUUUGGCUUAAUUUUUGUUUCAAAAUAAGUGUAUUCUUCAAAAGGCAACAAAAAUCUAAAGAAACAAU